RNAcentral lists this long non-coding RNA (222 nucleotides) under Mytilus galloprovincialis (Mediterranean mussel). Lineage: Eukaryota; Metazoa; Mollusca; Bivalvia; Mytilida; Mytilidae. The record is from RNAcentral.
UUUGACCUUGACCUAAUUUUCAUUUUUUUGGACCAAGGAUCUCAAAUCAAAAGACCCUAGGUCUCUAAUAUGUAUGGUUAAUAAGUUAUAUCACUUUACGCAUAAUUUUAGAUAUGAUAGGGGCUAAAACUCCCAUUUAUUGUCUACGCACCCUUUCAACCAAAAUUAUUAUGUUACGACAUGUCGCAGCUAACAAUUUAGUAAAAAUAAUUUGUCGAUAUC